This 427-nucleotide ribosomal RNA is filed under the name uncultured bacterium. RNAcentral's name for it is "partial 16S ribosomal RNA". It matches the Rfam family "Bacterial small subunit ribosomal RNA", at positions 354 to 796 of the family's 1533-position model. The record is from RNAcentral.
GUGGGGAAUAUUGGGCAAUGGGGGAAACCCUGACCCAGUGACGCCGCGUGAGGGAAGAAGGCCUUAGGGUCGUAAACCUCUGUUGUGUGGGAAGAAGAGCGUGACGGUACCACACGAGGAAGUCCCGGCUAACUACGUGCCAGCAGCCGCGGUAAUACGUAGGGGACGAGCGUUGUCCGGAUUUACUGGGCGUAAAGGGCGCGUAGGCGGUCAUUUAAGUCAGCUGUGAAAUGGUUUGGCUUAACCGGAUCAUGCGGUUGAAACUGGAUGACUGGAGUGCUGGAGAGGCAAGUGGAAUUCCCAGUGUAGCGGUGAAAUGCGUAGAUAUUGGGAAGAACACCGGUGGCGAAGGCGACUUUCUGGACGAUGUCUGACGCUGAGGCGCGAAAGCUAGGGGAGCGAACGGGAUUAGAAACCCCAGUAGUCC